GUCGUAUCAUUAUCAUAUUGUUAAAAUUCUCAUUUGAAAUUUUUUAAAAUAGCAUUAUAAAACAAAUUAUCUGUUAGGAUAUCGAUAGGAUUUUAGACCAGCUGCCUUGCACAGCUUGCUGCCUGGCAUUUCUGUACUGUACUGUCUGCAAUAAGGUCAGUGAUAAGGUUAGCGCUAUACGUGACACGCCAUCAUCACAUCCAUCAACUUGCAUGAAAAUAAAUACUUGCUCGAUAACAGCUCCACAAGCCGGUCAACAUUUUUAAAUAUUGGUCUGCUUUUGCACUGUAGUACACCAAUAAAUAGCCAAGUUACAAAAUGUCAAAUACAAGGAUUCACUAACAUAAAUUGUAUUGUACGUUGCUUGCCAAUAAAUUUCAUGAAUUCACAAAUUUACGCAUUCAAUACAGCAAUACAGCAUGCGUUAAAUUAUUACAAAAAACGAGAUUAUACGAGCCUUACCCAUGUGAGGACAGGUCCUUUCUUUCAGUAGAUUUUUGGCAACCAGGAAUUGAACAAAAAGUUGGCAUGGUUGCAAAUGUCUCGCUUUAAUAUAAGAAAAUUUCCGACCGAAAUUUUGAAUUUACCUCCUUCUGCUUUAAGCAAAUUGAAAGGGGGGUGUGAAUAACUUUUUUCUUCACUUUAGUAUUUAAGGUCAGUGGUGUUCACCAUAAAUGUAGGUCGAUUGUGACGUCAAAAUGACGUAAAUUUGGCCAAAAUCCGCCAUGUUUUUGGUCACACAUUUUUGACUGACGAGGUAUUGGAGCACGAUCUCCAGAUAUAUUAAGUAUAGCUCAGUGGGCCCGACCUUUAAUUAAUGUCCCUCCAAGAUCCUUUGUUUGCUUCAAAAAUCCGGAAAAAAACAAUUGGUCUACGACCUGUAUAUGAGUUUGUAUGCAUUUCAUUUAGGACAGAUAAUCUCAACUGUUUUAGGGCAAGUUGACCAUGACGGUCAACAUGGUAACGUUGCCCGAACCCCAAUCCGGGGCGAAACGUCCGAAAUUGACCACACCCAAAAACAACGCUUUCGCCAUACUGCUAUCUACCAAAC
Molecule: non-coding RNA, 1051 nt
Organism: Paramuricea clavata
Lineage: Eukaryota; Metazoa; Cnidaria; Anthozoa; Malacalcyonacea; Plexauridae
Source: the annotation of a GenBank genome assembly